AACGUAGGAGGCGAGCGUUAUCCGGAUUUACUGGGUGUAAAGCGCGUGCAGGCGGUUCGCUAAGUUGGAUGUGAAAGCUCCCGGCUCAACUGGGAGAGGUCGUACAAGACUGGCGGACUGGAGUGUGGUAAGGGAAGGUGGAAUUCCGGGUGUAGUGGUGAAAUGCGUAGAUAUCCGGAGGAACACCAGUGGCGAAGGCGGCCUUCUGGACCACGACUGACGCUCAGACGCGAAAGCUAGGGUAGCAAACGGG
This 253-nucleotide ribosomal RNA is filed under the name uncultured bacterium. RNAcentral's name for it is "partial 16S ribosomal RNA". It matches the Rfam family "Bacterial small subunit ribosomal RNA", at positions 524 to 776 of the family's 1533-position model. The record is from RNAcentral.